Molecule: ribosomal RNA, 461 nt
Filed under: uncultured bacterium
Lineage: Bacteria
Description: partial 16S ribosomal RNA
Rfam family: Bacterial small subunit ribosomal RNA
Source: RNAcentral
CCUACGGGAGGCUGCAGUGAGGAAUAUUGGUCAAUGGGCGCGAGCCUGAACCAGCCAAGUCGCGUGAGGGAGGACGGCCCUACGGGUUGUAAACCUCUUUUGCCGGGGAGCAACGGGCGCCACGUGUGGCGUCACUGAGAGUACCCGGAGAAAAAGCAUCGGCUAACUCCGUGCCAGCAGCCGCGGUAAUACGGAGGAUGCGAGCGUUAUCCGGAUUUAUUGGGUUUACAGGGAGCAUAGAUGGGGUGUUAAGUCAGUUGUGAAAGUUUGCGGCUCAACCGUAAAAAUGCAAUUGAUACGUGCAGUCUGUAGUACAGUUGGGGGAGGCGGAAGUCGUGGUGUAGCGGUGAAAUGCUUAGAUAUCACGAAGAACUCCGAUUGCGAAGGCAGCUUACUAAACUGCCACUGACAUUGAUGCUCGAAAGUGUGGGUAUCAAACAGGAUUAGAUACCCCUGUAGUC